GACGAACGCUGGCGGCGUGCUUAACACAUGCAAGUCGAACGGAAAGGCCCUGCUUUUGUGGGGUGCUCGAGUGGCGAACGGGUGAGUAACACGUGAGUAACCUGCCCUUGACUUUGGGAUAACUUCAGGAAACUGGGGCUAAUACCGGAUAGGAGCUCCUGCUGCAUGGUGGGGGUUGGAAAGUUUCGGCGGUUGGGGAUGGACUCGCGGCUUAUCAGCUUGUUGGUGGGGUGGUGGCUUACCAAGGCUUUGACGGGUAGCCGGCCUGAGAGGGUGACCGGCCAAAUGGGGAUUGAGAGAGGGCCAAACCCCCGAGGGGGGGGAGGGGGGGGGAAAUUUGCAAAAGGGGGGGAAGCUGGAGGGAGAAACCCCGGGGGGGGGAGGAGGGCCUUGGGGUGGUAAACCGCUUCCGCCUGGAAGGAAGGGGGGGGGACGGAAAUGGGGAAAAAAGAACGGGAAAACUAAGG
This 467-nucleotide ribosomal RNA is filed under the name uncultured bacterium. RNAcentral describes it as "partial 16S ribosomal RNA". It matches the Rfam family "Bacterial small subunit ribosomal RNA", at positions 28 to 506 of the family's 1533-position model. The record is from RNAcentral.